AGUCGUAACAAGGUCUCCGUAGGUGAACCUGCGGAUGGAUCAUUACCAAAGGAAUUUCUAUUCCUCUACGUAUUGUGAACUGUUUUGAACAACUGCAGUCAGUUGUGUUUGUGGCCGUUGUAGGGUUUUUAUCUGCGAAAGCAAACAAACUCUUGAGCGGUUGCACUUACAGCUGACUGUACAGUACUAACGUACUUCUGCUUUACCGCAGACCUAAACCUAUUAUAGAAAUAACAAACUAUAAACAACUUUUAGCAACGGAUCUCUUGGCUCUC
RNAcentral lists this unclassified non-coding RNA (275 nucleotides) under fungal sp. RNAcentral's name for it is "partial internal transcribed spacer region". The stretch from base 1 to 45 matches the Rfam family "Eukaryotic small subunit ribosomal RNA", at positions 1787 to 1831 of the family's 1831-position model. Lineage: Eukaryota; Fungi. The record is from RNAcentral.